GGUGGUGUAAUAUUAUUGGACCAAAAAGAAUUAAAGCAAAGGUAUAUUUAUUUAUUAUUUUCUUGUCAGAUUGUAAGGAAUUGUUGCCUGCGAAAAUAAAAUUGAAUUUUUUUUUCUUUACUUUCGUCUCUGCCUAACUCACACUAUUCACAAACCUAAGACCCCGUUUACCCACCGACCCUAGCACAAGUGACAAAGGACUUGAUGGUUGAUACUUGAGGACCCAAAUUCAAAUCCUCCUUGAUUCACAUUUCUAGCUAAGUAUAUUUCUAAAUAAAAUAAACAAAGCGAAUAUCUUAUUACCUAUCUCUCAAAAAAAAAAAAAAAAAAAAAAAAAAAGGCCCUGUUUGAAUUGGGUACAAUUAGGGUGAUAAGAGCCUUAUUCCCCCGGUUGUACCCAAAUAAAAAUUUUGGGUGGGAACAAGCUUGUUCCCACCCACCCCCCACUGGUAGAGAGAGAGAGAGAGUUUUCUUUUAAAAUAAAAUUUAAAUUUUUAAAAUUUACAAAUUGAAAAUUGAAAUUUAGAAUUUAAAAUUCUAAAUUUUAAAGUUUAAAUUUUAAUUUGAUGUUUUAAAUUUUUAAAUUUUAAAUUUGAUAUUUUAUAUAUUUCAAAUUUAAAUUUGGCCUUAAAUUUAAAUUUUGAAAUUUAAAAUUUAAAAUUUAAAAUUUUUAAAUUUGAAGAUAUAAAUUUUUAAUUUGUAUUUCAAUUUUUAAAAUUUAAAAGUUAAAAUUUUAAAUUUAAAUUAUAAAUGUAAAAUUUAAAAAUUUAAAUUCAAAUAUAAUGAGAGAGGUAAUAUAAUUAUUUUCUAUUUAUAACUAUCCAUUAUACUUCUUAUUCGAUUUUAUCUAUCCAAACACUAUUUUUUCUUAUUCUCGAAAACAACCUAAUUUUCAUCCAAAUACAAAAUUUGUCUAGUUCUCGCUUAUACUUGAACUUGUAUCUAUUUCUAGAAUAAACAGUUCUUAUUUAUACCCGAACCAAACGAAGCUUAAAAGAAUGUUAUAGUGAAUUUUUGAAGAAGUUAUAUAUAUAUUUCAUUUAAGGGAUUGAAAAAAAUACUUAUGUUGUGACGAGAUAUACAAAGUUAAACAUAUUAUUUGAGUAGGCAGUACGUAGAUUAAUCUUAAUUUAACUGAAAAUAUGCAAUCAGAAAGAAAAGUAUAAUCUAAUAAAAAAUUUUGAAAUUUUUUAAAUUAAGUAGAAAUAAAUAAUACAUGCUUUAUCAUAGUAUUAGGUCAAAAUAUAGUGGAGGAAUAUAAAACAAAAUUAUAUUAUUAUUUUCUAGUGAGAUUCUAGUAAGGAGUUGCCAUUGACAAAUAUCAACUUCAAUAUUUUCAUUUCAUACUUUCUUGGCAUACUAAAUUCAACCCUUUCACACACCAAAUAGAAAUUAGAGUAGAUUUUUGAAAAAAUAUAUUAUAUAGAGUGGAGUUACUAUACUAUUAGAAGCAUAAAGGAUUUAGUGUUUAUGACUUUUUAGCCUUUAAAUCAGCACCUUUAAUUAUUUCUAAUUUUUUAAUUAAUACCAUUAUUCUGUGGGAACCACUCAAUCCUAGUAGGAGUAUUACUCAAUCUUAGAGGGGACCGCAAUUAUUCCAAUCAUAUAAUUAUUGAUCCAAGGGUCAAAAAAAUAGAAAGCAUUAAAUCAUGUAUGCUUUCAAUAGUAUAGUAGCUCCAUACAAUUAUAUAUAUUCUAACUGUGAGUUAUAAAAAUACACUUAUACAGUAAUAGAGAUGUACAAAAUUAAGUGUAUUAUUUUAGUACGUAAUAUGUAAAUUUAUU
RNAcentral lists this long non-coding RNA (1785 nucleotides) under Ananas comosus (pineapple). RNAcentral describes it as "long non-coding RNA (ACOM_LNC025633)". Lineage: Eukaryota; Viridiplantae; Streptophyta; Magnoliopsida; Poales; Bromeliaceae. The record is from RNAcentral.